This 629-nucleotide long non-coding RNA is filed under the name Eucalyptus grandis. Its description in RNAcentral is "long non-coding RNA (EGRA_LNC004948)". The record is from RNAcentral. Lineage: Eukaryota; Viridiplantae; Streptophyta; Magnoliopsida; Myrtales; Myrtaceae.
GGCAAGCUCUUUAGUUAUAAUAUAACCAUCACAAAGAUAUAGGUAACAUGCUGUAAGACCAAUACCCCUCACAGUCCCUUUCGCUGCUAGAGGAAUAUCCGAAUGUGUGAGAACCAACAAAUCAUCUAAGUUAAGGGGUUUAUGUACAAACAAUCAUUCGUCAAUCGGAAAUGCUGCUUCAGAUGUUGAGGAGGUUGUAAGAAUACUAGCAAAGAGAUGACAAAUAAAUUGUGUUCCUAUGGAAAUUUUGAGCUGUACCUGGACUGAAUACUAAGGGGGUGCAUGACAACAUUUCUGUUCCAGAAACUAUUUCUGGAACAGAAAUGAAUUUUUCGAUUUCUAUUUCUGGACGAGUUUCUAAGGAAAAAAAAUUGUUUGAUAACUUAAUAGAAUUUCUAUUUCAAAAAUAGAAAUUCGUUUGAUGAGCCAGAGGAGAGGUAGAGGAGAGGCGGAGGCGGAGGCGGAGCAGAGAGGCGGAGGAGAGGUGGAGCAGAGGCGGAGGAGAGGCGGAGGCGGAGGCGGAGGCGGAGGUGGAGCAAAGAGGCGGAGGCGGAGGCGGAGGCGAAGGCGGAGGCGGAGCAGAGAGGCGGAGCAGAGGCGGAGGAGAGGCGGAGCAGAGGCGGGCGGAG